UACGGAGGGGGCAAGCGUUAUUCGGAAUUAUUGGGCGUAAAGGGCGCGUAGGCGGCUAGAUGUGUCAAAGGUGAAAUCCCUCGGCUCAACUGAGGAACUGCCUUUGAAACUGUCUGGCUUGAGGCCGGGAGAGGGUAGCGGAAUUCCCAGUGUAGCGGUGAAAUGCGUAGAUAUUGGGAGGAACACCAGUGGCGAAGGCGGCUACCUGGACCGGUUCUGACGCUGAGGAGCGAAAGCGUGGGGAGCAAACAGG
Molecule: ribosomal RNA, 253 nt
Filed under: uncultured bacterium
Lineage: Bacteria
Description: partial 16S ribosomal RNA
Rfam family: Bacterial small subunit ribosomal RNA
Source: RNAcentral